UUAAGUUCAGCGGGUAGCCCUACCUGAUUUGAGGCCAGAGUACAAUGUAUAGUUGUAUGCGUACGACGAAACUUAUUACGUCUGCAUAAUGCUUUUAAGGAGAGCCAACAAAGGCAAACUCCCAAAUCCAUCUAAUUCAGAAACCCGAAUAGAUGAGUCUACAUGACACUCAAACAGGCAUGCCCUCCGGAAUACCAGAG
This 200-nucleotide unclassified non-coding RNA is filed under the name Tremellomycetes sp. RNAcentral describes it as "partial internal transcribed spacer 2". The record is from RNAcentral. Lineage: Eukaryota; Fungi; Basidiomycota; Tremellomycetes.